ACCGCGAAGCAGUAAAACACAGUUUGAUCAUUACCAUUUCUCUUCUCUUCAUAAAAAUACAGAGUUUGUUUUAUUUUACUUAUUAAUUUCAUUUCAUGUGAAAACCGAAGAAGAAGAAGAAAAAGUCAGCACCAAUAAUCUUAUUUCUUCUUCUUCUUCUACUUCUUCUUCCUUACAGGUUCAUAGUUUCUAAUUCAUUCUUUUUGAUCAUUUAUCUCGACUGUAUACGUUGAGAUAUACGGUCAGUUUGACAUAAGUAAGUUUGGUAGAGGAUUGUUUUGGAUCAGGAAAAACAAUUGGAAGCUCGGUAAAUGGCGCUGUUUAGAAGAUUGUUUUAUAAGAAUCCUCCGGAUGGCUUAAUGGAGAUCUCUGGAAGAGUCUAUGUGUUCGAUUCUUGCCUCUCUACUGAUGUUAUGGAAAAGGAUAACUACAAGAAGUACAUGGAUGGUAUCGUGGCCCAACUUCAGGACCACUUUCCAGAUGCCUCUUACAUGGUAUUUAAUUUUAGGGAGGGAGAAAUGAGAAGCCAGAUUUCUGAUAUAUUAUCUGAGUACGAUAUGACGGUUAUGGAUUAUCCUCGGCAAUAUGAAGGGUGUCCUCUCUUACCGCUCGAGAUGACUGACCAUUUCCUGAGAUCAAGUGAGAGUUGGUUGUCGUUGGAAGGUCCACAGAAUGUUCUGCUGAUGCAUUGUGAAAGAGGAGGGUGGCCUGUGCUCGCAUUCACGCUUGCUGCUCUCCUUCUAUACAGAAAACAGUAUACGGGGGAGCAGAAAACCCUUGAGAUGGUAUAUAAGCAAGCUCCUAAGGAACUCCUCCAUCUCAUGUCUCCUUUAAACCCACAUUAACCUUCCCAACUGAGAUAUCUACAGUACAUCUCUAGGAGAAAUCUCGACUCAUGGCCUCCAGCUGAUACAUCUUUGGCCUUGGAUAGCCUCAUUCUCAGAGGACUUCCAGUAAUUAAUGGUGAAAGGAGUUGUAGGCCUAUAGUUCGUGUUCAUGGCCAGGAUCCAUCUACUGCAGCUAGCAGAAGUUCUCAAGUUCUGUUUUCAACUCCAAAGACAAAGAAGCAUGUUCGUCACUACAAACAGGCAGAAAAUACGCCCGUGAAGGUAGAUAUUCAUUGCCGUGUUCAAGGUGAUGUAGUUCUUGAAUGCAUACAUUUGGAUGAGGAUAUGGUACGCGAGGAAAUGAUGUUCAGGCUUAUGUUUAACACGUUGUUUGUUCGAUCAAAUGCCUUACUGCUCAGCCGGGAGGAUAUCGACAUUUUGUGGGAUGCAAAGGAACAGUUCCCUGAAGACUUUAAAGUAGAGGUACUCUUUUUGGACCCUGAUAUUCUUGGGUCUACCACUGGCAUAGAAGCGGCAAGUGGAGACGAGGAUGAGACUGAAGGUGGAGCAGAGGAGUUCUUUGAGAGGGAGGAAGUUUUCAGCAAUGCUGAUGGGCACUAAAGAUAUGGUCCGCCUUCUUCAUCAAAAAUAAAAGUAUAUUUUUACCGGGAGUCUUCAAAGGUGAUCCCGGUCGUCCAGCUCGAGCAUGCAAGGUUAAGACUUGAGAGUCUCCAGCUCGAGCAUGUAAGAUUAAGACCCCACCUAAAACCAGACAAAAUUAAGUACUGAACCAUACGAUUGCCUCCACUAGACACUGGCUUAAGUUUCCUAAUUAAAAUUUGUUGGACCCACAUUCUACUAUCCCGAUGAAUGAUUUCGAUUUUUUUAGCUGCAUCAUCGCUUGGUGAUACUAUUUGAUGAAUGUUAAUAUAAGCCAAGAACAAAGACCCCAUGCUCAUCAUAAACCACCGGAAAUUAUUUGUUGGAUC
Long non-coding RNA from Papaver somniferum (opium poppy), 1816 nucleotides. RefSeq lists it as uncharacterized. Lineage: Eukaryota; Viridiplantae; Streptophyta; Magnoliopsida; Ranunculales; Papaveraceae. The transcript has 4 exons. The record is from RefSeq and is a predicted model, not a curated record.